UACGUAGGGUGCAAGCGUUGUCCGGAAUUAUUGGGCGUAAAGAGCUCGUAGGCGGUCUGUUGCGUCGGCUGUGAAAACCCGGGGCUCAACUCCGGGCCUGCAGCCGAUACGGGCAGACUAGAGUUCGGCAGGGGAGACUGGAAUUCCUGGUGUAGCUGUGAAAUGCGCAGAUAUCAGGAGGAACACCGGUGGCGAAGGCGGGUCUCUGGGCCGAUACUGACGCUGAGGAGCGAAAGCGUGGGGAGCGAACAGG
Molecule: ribosomal RNA, 253 nt
Filed under: uncultured bacterium
Lineage: Bacteria
Description: partial 16S ribosomal RNA
Rfam family: Bacterial small subunit ribosomal RNA
Source: RNAcentral